RNAcentral lists this ribosomal RNA (257 nucleotides) under uncultured bacterium. Its description in RNAcentral is "partial 16S ribosomal RNA". It matches the Rfam family "Bacterial small subunit ribosomal RNA", at positions 15 to 267 of the family's 1533-position model. The record is from RNAcentral.
GAUCCUGGCUCAGGAUGAACGCUAGCUACAGGCUUAACACAUGCAAGUCGAGGGGCAGCAUUUUUAUAGCAAUAUAAAAGAUGGCGACCGGCGCACGGGUGAGUAACACGUAUCCAACCUGCCGAUAACUCGGGGAUAACCCUUCGAAAGAAGGCCUAAUACCCGAUGGCAUAUCCCUUCCGCCUGGUUGGGAUAUUAAAGAACUUCGGUUAUCGAUGGGGAUGUCGUUCCAUUAGCUUGUUGGGCGGGGUAACCGG